This 122-nucleotide ribosomal RNA is filed under the name Triparma laevis. The record is from RNAcentral. Lineage: Eukaryota; Bolidophyceae; Parmales; Triparmaceae.
UACCUUGGUGUUUUUAGCAUAGUGGAACCACACUGACCCAUUUCGAACUCAGUUGUGAAACAUUAUAGCGGCGACAAUACUUGGGGGGACACCCCCUGGGAAGAUAGCUCAAUGCCAAGGUU